GUCAAGGGCAAAUCAGAAAGAACUACCAUUAAGAAGUCUGUGACCAGGUUUAUAUAGUAAAGCAUAUCCUUAUCUGAGAAAACAGAUAAUGUUGGAAAAGAGACUGACAAUAAAAAGGACUUUUCUUACUCUUUUCAAAACUCUGAAUUGUGUCAGCAUCUUUUAUACAACUGAACAAUACUCACUGAAAGAAAGACAUAUUUACUUAAAGACUGCUUUAGCAACCAAAACCCAAAACACAACCAUAAACAGAAAGCACCAUCUAUGA
Molecule: long non-coding RNA, 268 nt
Filed under: Numida meleagris (helmeted guineafowl)
Lineage: Eukaryota; Metazoa; Chordata; Aves; Galliformes; Numididae
Description: lncRNA (ENSNMEG00000020441.1)
Source: RNAcentral